AACGAACGCUGGCGGCAGGCCUAACACAUGCAAGUCGAGCGCGCCCUUCGGGGUGAGCGGCGGACGGGUGAGUAACGCGUGGGAACGUGCCCUUUUCUACGGAAUAGCCUCGGGAAACUGAGAGUAAUACCGUAUACGCCCUUUGGGGGAAAGGUUUAUCGGAAAAGGAUCGGCCCGCGUUGGAUUAGGUAGUUGGUGGGGUAAUGGCCUACCAAGCCGACGAUCCAUAGCUGGUUUGAGAGGAUGAUCAGCCACACUGGGACUGAGACACGGCCCAGACUCCUACGGGAGGCAGCAGUGGGGAAUCUUAGACAAUGGGGGCAACCCUGAUCUAGCCAUGCCGCGUGAGUGAUGAAGGCCUUAGGGUUGUAAAGCUCUUUCAGCUGGGAAGAUAAUGACGGUACCAGCAGAAGAAGCCCCGGCUAACUCCGUG
RNAcentral lists this ribosomal RNA (433 nucleotides) under uncultured bacterium. RNAcentral's name for it is "partial 16S ribosomal RNA". It matches the Rfam family "Bacterial small subunit ribosomal RNA", at positions 29 to 507 of the family's 1533-position model. The record is from RNAcentral.